This 800-nucleotide ribosomal RNA is filed under the name uncultured bacterium. RNAcentral describes it as "bacterial SSU rRNA". It matches the Rfam family "Bacterial small subunit ribosomal RNA", at positions 1 to 827 of the family's 1533-position model. The record is from RNAcentral.
AGGGGUUUUUUUUUAAAUCAAAUUGGGAGAGACAUUUUCCGAGGCAGUUAGUUUACUAAGCGCCAAGAUGCUGGCACCUUAAAGGCGGACGGGUGAGUAACGCGUGGGUAACCUGCCUCUUUAAAGGGGAUAACACUUACAAAUAGGUGCUAAUACCGCAUAAACGCACGGGGCUGCAUGGCCCAGUGUGAACUCCUCCGGUGGUAUAAGAUGGACCCGCGUCUGAUUAGCUUGUUGGCGGGGUAACGGCCCACCAAGGCGACGAUCAGUAGCCGGCCUGAGAGGGUGGACGGCCACAUUGGGACUGAGACACGGCCCAAACUCCUACGGGAGGCAGCAGUGGGGAAUAUUGGACAAUGGGGGGAACCCUGAUCCAGCGACGCCGCGUGAGUGAAGAAGUAUUUCGGUACGUAAAGCUCUAUCAGCAGGGAAGAAAGAAAUGACGGUACCUGACUAAGAAGCCCCGGCUAACUACCUGCCAGCAGCCGCGGUAAUACGUAGGGGGCAAGCGUUAUCCGGAUUUACUGGGUGUAAAGGGAGCGUAGACGGUUACGCACGUCUGGAGUGAAAGGCGGGGGCCCAACCCCCGGACUGCUUUGGAAACUGUAUAACUGGAUUGCAGGACAGGUAAGUGGAAUUCCUAGUGUACCGGUGAAAUGCGUAUAUAUUUAUGAGGAACACCACUGGCGAAGGCGGCUUACUGGACUGUAACUGACGUUGAGGCUCGAAAGCGUGGGGAGCAAACAGGAUUAAAUACCCUGGUUAUCCCCCCCGUCAAACAAUGAUCCCUAUGUUGUCCG